This 65-nucleotide transfer RNA is filed under the name Gordonella aff. paravillosa ZS-2018. Its description in RNAcentral is "tRNA-Arg". Lineage: Eukaryota; Metazoa; Arthropoda; Malacostraca; Decapoda; Solenoceridae. The record is from RNAcentral.
AAAUAAAAAGCGAACUAUCGCACUCAGUUUCGGCCUGAGCCUUGGUGUUAAAUCACCUUUAUUUA